UGGGGAAUAUUGGACAAUGGGCGCAAGCCUGAUCCAGCCAUGCCGCGUGAGUGAUAAAGGCCCUAGGGUUGUAAAGCUCUUUUGUGCGGGAAGAUAAUGACGGUACCGCAAGAAUAAGCCCCGGCUAACUUCGUGCCAGCAGCCGCGGUAAUACGAAGGGGGCUAGCGUUGCUCGGAAUCACUGGGCGUAAAGGGUGCGUAGGCGGGUCUUUAAGUCAGGGGUGAAAUCCUGGAGCUCAACUCCAGAACUGCCUUUGAUACUGAGGAUCUUGAGUUCGGGAGAGNUGAGUGGAACUGCGAGUGUAGAGGUGAAAUUCGUAGAUAUUCGCAAGAACACCAGUGGCGAAGGCGGCUCACUGGCCCGAUACUGACGCUGAGGCACGAAAGCGUGGGGAGCAAACA
RNAcentral lists this ribosomal RNA (402 nucleotides) under uncultured bacterium. RNAcentral's name for it is "bacterial SSU rRNA". It matches the Rfam family "Bacterial small subunit ribosomal RNA", at positions 355 to 774 of the family's 1533-position model. The record is from RNAcentral.